GAUGAAGAACGUAGCGAAAUGCGAUACGUAAUGUGAAUUGCAGAAUUCAGUGAAUCAUCGAAUCUUUGAACGCACAUUGCGCCUGCCAGCACUCUGGCAGGCAUGCCUGUUCGAGCGUCAUUUCAACCAUCAAGCCCCAGGCUUGCGUUGGAGCCCUGCGGCUGCCGCAGGCCCCUAAAAGCAGUGGCGGGCUCGCUAUCACACCGAGUGCAGUAGAUUACUCUUCGCUCAGGGCGUGUGGCGGGUUCCAGCCGUGAAACCCCCUACUUCUCAAGGUUGACCUCGGAUCAGGUAGGAAUACCCGCUGAACUUAAGCAUAUCAAUAAGCGGAGGA
This 334-nucleotide unclassified non-coding RNA is filed under the name soil metagenome. Its description in RNAcentral is "partial contains 5.8S ribosomal RNA, internal transcribed spacer 2, and large subunit ribosomal RNA". The stretch from base 1 to 120 matches the Rfam family "5.8S ribosomal RNA", at positions 35 to 154 of the family's 154-position model. The record is from RNAcentral.